Molecule: ribosomal RNA, 228 nt
Filed under: Alphaproteobacteria bacterium
Lineage: Bacteria; Pseudomonadati; Pseudomonadota; Alphaproteobacteria
Description: partial 23S ribosomal RNA
Rfam family: Bacterial large subunit ribosomal RNA
Source: RNAcentral
GAGGACCGGGAUGGACAUACCUCUGGUGUAUCGGUUGUUCCGCCAGGAGCAGUGCCGAGUAGCUAAGUAUGGAAGGGAUAAACGCUGAAAGCAUCUAAGCGUGAAACCCGCCUCAAAACAAGGUAUCCCUAUCAGAGCCGUGGAAGACCACCACGUUGAUAGGCCAGGUGUGGAAGCGCAGUAAUGCGUGCAGCUAACUGGUACUAAUUGCUCGAUUGGCUUAAAUUC